UGCAGACAAUGGCCAUUGGACAUUCUCACUUUCUUCUCUCUCUAUGUCUCUUUCCCCCACAGCCUGGGGUUGAAACAGGUGAGCUUGUCUUUCCCUGGGCCAGAUGCUCCUUCAACGAGCAGCAAGUCAUAUGCCUCUGCUGUCUCAGGAUAAGGGAGGUUCUCACUGCUGUUUCAAGAUUGCCACCAUCACACCAAGUUUUCAGGAAGAGAGGAGCCAAAGGAAUUUGGAGAUUGCUCCUUUUAGAAUUCUGACCACCUGUUGGUGCUGCUCCACGUCUGGUCCCAGUCUCUGAGGAUUUGCCUUCAUACCUAUGAUAUGUAGGAAGAAAGAUGUGUGUCCUGCCUUUUCAACAGAGAGAUGACGCACUCACGGGCCAAGCACAGGAUCUGGGACGUUGCAGUUCAAGUCUCAAGGGCAGGGACCUAUUUUCCUGUAUCUGACUGUGACUUUGGCUGCAUGACCUUGGAUAUCAUGCUCUCUGAGCUGCAGUUCCUUCAUGGAGGAAAAAGUAGAGCAUGGUUGUGGCUAGGUGAUCAUUAGCAUCUCUUCCCCCCAAAAUUUCCUCUUCGACCUUGGCCUCAACUUACCCUGCAAAAUGCAUCAUCAGCCUGGAGCCAUCACCAGCGCCUGACAGCCGUGUCGCUACCUUGGAGGGACUGUGCUACCUUCUCGGGGACCUGUGUGACCUUUCCUGCAGUGGUAGAGCUAAUUCCACUGUCACUCACUGCCUGACGGUGUCUUUGUGUGGGAUCAGAACAACUUCUGUUCAGAACCAUUUGAGUCCUCUUGGCUUUAAUAAAGGGACCUUCCCACAUGGAAGGGACCGCUUCAUUUUGUGGAUGCACAGUUUCCAGGCCAUGGCACACACUUACCCCUGUGACCUCCUUCAUGAGAGAAAAAGAAUGUAUCACUGUGAUUUUGCCCUCGAAAGUACUGAAAAUCUGCAUUCCCCUCUGUUUGAUUGAUCUGCCCUGGGCUCUGGGAGUGACUUGGUAGCCACAGGACAGAAAUCGAAGUGGUCACGAGAUCUUGGGAACCUAGCCAGUCCAUUCAAUGAGCUCUCCAUCUGCUUACAAAUUGCACCCUGUUGCUUUUAUCAAAUGACUCAGUGAACCGGGAAUAUAUGUGCUUUUUGGUUUUUUAAUACAGGAGAGAUUUUGUCAGACCAGAACUUGAUGGAAAUUUUGAAGUGUUCUAUGGAACCAGAUGUUGUGCAGUUCAUUAAAAUUAAGUGAACUAUUUAAUACAGAUGUGUAUAGAUAUUGAGCGUCUUUUUACUGACUUUUAUCCUUCAAAAGUUCAAAUUGAUCUGCGUUUCUUAAAGAAGGGCUAAGAAUAAAGAAAACAGCAGGAAGUGCCCUCAUGACAUCAUUGCCAAGAUAUGGCCUUAGUCACUUUGUGUGUUAUAAGAAGUGUUCAUAAUAAUUUUGGAGAUGGUUAUCACUGGCACCCGUGUGGUCCUGCUUAUGAAUCUAGGAAGAAUUACCAAAACCAAUUUUCAUUGUGAUUCUGAAGUAACGUGAAGUAAAAACAGACUUCAAUUUUGAAACUACCUUCAUGCAUAAUUAUAAAAUAAAUAGUAUGCUUGCAUCGCAAGAAAGUAACGAAAACAAUUCUAGGAUUUACUAAGGAUGAAGCUGCUCAGAAUUUACUGACUCUUUUCUGGGUCCAGAUCACCUCUUUCACCAGAGCAAAAGCUGAAGAUUCAGAGCCAGCUCUACCAUUGACCAGCUGAGAUUCACAAAUGUCCACAUAUCUUCCUCAUCUGUGAAAUGGGAUUCUUACAGAACUUAUCCCGUAGAGUUCAAGGAGAAACAACUGCUGUGCAGCAUGUUAAAUAUGUAACAUAUGCCUGGCGCUUUGUGAGGCCCUUAAUUAUCAGCAACCAUGAUGAAUUUUGUGACUCUCACUGUGGGACAUACUGUCGUGAAACUUUGAUCUUUAUACUGUUUCCAAGUAGAAAGACACAAUAAAUAUAACUAAUGAUGCUGUUAUAUUGUAUAAAAUGAAACAAUCAACAAUCUGGAAAAUAUCACCCCAUCUUGAAUAUACAAAGCCUAGGCAUCAGCUAUGUCUAGUGAGCGUGAAACGGUUUCUUACCCCAAGGGGAAAGUUGCCAGGGAAAGAGAACAUUUGUCUCCAGCUACUGUGGCUCAGGGGACAUUUGGAAAUGAGAUAGAACAGGAAAAAAAUGAGGCUCUGUAAACAGCCACAGGAAAGGGGGCAUGUAAGAUGUAAUGGGAAAUCAUUCAGACAGAACUUUGACCACACUACCAAGCAUACCAGGAGGAUGGGAUGUCCUUCCCAUCACGGUAGUCAAGUGAAGGGCAUUUGGAAGAGAAUGUCCAAGGAAGCCCAGGUCCCUUGGGCAAUUAUUAUAAAAUGAAAAUCGAGCAGCUCUAGGAACUGAAGCACUUUGUAUGUAAGUCCUGAGAAAGGAACUGGGCAAUCAGAGAGGCUAAGAACUUGCCAAAGGUAAAAUGCUGAAAUGCCGGCAGGCUAACACAGGUGCAAGGAGCGGAUACAAUUUAAUGGCUUUAUUCAGAGUCUGGGGAGGAGUUACUGGCACUUGUCACCAGUUCUAAUUCCACCAGUGGCAACUGUACACAGUUCAUUGUGUAAAUAAUGUUGACUGGUUUUGUAUCUCCCCCCCCAAACACACAUACACACACACACACACACACACACACACACACACACACACUCUUCUAAAACUCUUCAAAAACUUAAAGAUCCUUUUAGAUAUGUUUAAAAAGAAGGGUAAUAGAUGAAUGGUAUCAAUAGCAUUGUUUACACUCACCAUCCCAGUAUAGGGACAGGUUAGUUCAUGGUGAGGGAGUUAAGACUGUGAGCAGACUACUGAAUUAUGGUUUACUCUGUGGCCUUGCAAAUAGCUGUGAAAAGAAGAGAAGCAAAAAGCA
Bubalus bubalis (water buffalo) is the source of this 2924-nucleotide long non-coding RNA. RefSeq lists it as uncharacterized. The record is from RefSeq and is a predicted model, not a curated record. The transcript has 4 exons. Lineage: Eukaryota; Metazoa; Chordata; Mammalia; Artiodactyla; Bovidae.